This 408-nucleotide ribosomal RNA is filed under the name uncultured bacterium. Its description in RNAcentral is "partial 16S ribosomal RNA". It matches the Rfam family "Bacterial small subunit ribosomal RNA", at positions 28 to 526 of the family's 1533-position model. The record is from RNAcentral.
GUCGAACGCUGGCGGCGUGCUUAACACAUGCAAGUCGAACGGAGUGGCGAACGGGCGAGUAACACGUGGGUGACCUGCCCUGCACUUCGGGAUAAGCAUGGGAAAAUGGGGCUAAUACCGGAUAGUGUGGGAUGGGCCCGCGGCCUAUCAGCUUGGUGGUGGGGUAAGGGCAUACCAAAGCGGCGCCGGGUAGCCGGCCUGGGAGGGUGGACGGCCACCAGGGGCCUGCGACACGGCCCAGACGCCUAUGGGAGGCAGCGGGGGGGAACAUUGCACAAUGGGGGGAAGCCUGAUGCAGCGACGCCGCGUGGGGGAUGUCCGCCUUCGGGUUGGAAACGCCUUUCACCAUCGACGCGGUAGAUGGAGAAGAAGCACCGGCUAACUCCGUGCCAGCAGCCGCGGUAAUUC